This 74-nucleotide transfer RNA is filed under the name Bacillus phage P59. RNAcentral's name for it is "tRNA-Ala". It matches the Rfam family "tRNA". Rfam says of the family: Transfer RNA (tRNA) molecules are approximately 80 nucleotides in length. Their secondary structure includes four short double-helical elements and three loops (D, anti-codon, and T loops). Further hydrogen bonds mediate the characteristic L-shaped molecular structure. tRNAs have two regions of fundamental functional importance: the anti-codon, which is responsible for specific mRNA codon recognition, and the 3' end, to which the tRNAs corresponding amino acid is attached (by aminoacyl-tRNA synthetases). tRNAs cope with the degeneracy of the genetic code in two manners: having more than one tRNA (with a specific anti-codon) for a particular amino acid; and 'wobble' base-pairing, i.e. permitting non-standard base-pairing at the 3rd anti-codon position. The record is from RNAcentral. Lineage: Duplodnaviria; Heunggongvirae; Uroviricota; Caudoviricetes; Herelleviridae.
GGGGCCUUAGUUUAAUGGGAAAACCUCGGCUUUGCAAGCCGGAGAUGAGAGUUCGAUUCUCUCAGGUUCCACCA